RNAcentral lists this ribosomal RNA (484 nucleotides) under uncultured bacterium. RNAcentral describes it as "partial 16S ribosomal RNA". It matches the Rfam family "Bacterial small subunit ribosomal RNA", at positions 28 to 523 of the family's 1533-position model. The record is from RNAcentral.
GACGAACACUGGCGGCGUGCUUAACACAUGCAAGUCGAACGAUGAACCCGGAGCUUGCUCUGGUGAAUUAGUGGCGAACGGGUGAGUAACACGUGAGUAACCUGCCCUUGACUCUGGGAUAACUGCGGGAAACUGUAGCUAAUACCGGAUACGACCCUCGGAGGCAUCUCCUGGGGGUGGAAGGAAUUUCGGUCAAGGAUGGACUCGCGGCCUAUCAGCUAGUUGGUGAGGUACAGGCUCACCAAGUCGACGACGAGGAGCAGGCCUGAGAGGGUGCCCGGCCACACUAGGACUGAGACACGCCCCAUACUCCUACGGGAGGCAGCAGUGGGGAAUAUUGCACAAUGGGCGCAAGCCUGAUGCAGCAACGCCGCGUGGGGGAUGACGGCCUUCGGGUUGUAAACCUCUUUUAGCAGGGAAGAAGCGAAAGUGACGGUACCUGCAGAAAAAGCACCGGCUAACUACGUGCCAGCCGCCGCCGUAA